UGGUUUUUAAAAAAUUAACUAUGGUUGAAAAGUUAAAAAAAAAGGUCUAACUUUCUCAUCUAACUUCUUGUCAUUUUAUUUCUUAACUCUUUCAUCUUAACUACUAGAUCAUUUUUCUCGAAUCUAUAACUUUUACCAACAAUCUUAUCUUAUAAGUAAUUUCAAAAAAAAAAUCAUGGAUAUACAUUUUUUAAAAUAAAACAAACAAUAAAGAAAUAGAAAACAAAACAAACAAUAAAGAGAGAGGGGACAAAAAAACCAAACCCUCAAGAAAUAAGAUAAACGUAAAACCUCUAACAUGGGGGGGGGGGUUCAUAGAGGCAAGUACGACCAAAUAGGUUACUACGUAAGUGUGAUAUUAUUACCAACCUUUAAAGGAACUUCAAACCAUGCAACAUUUGAUCCGGUGAUGUGCUUACCAAUACCAUGUUCUUUUUCUUCUUACACUACUAAAAAAACAAAAAUUAGUGAGGGAAAACGUAAAAUCCCUCUCUAAUUCCGUCACUAAAUUUUACGACCAAAGAAUUUAUGAGGAAUUUCAUUUUUUCCGUCAUUAAUUUCCCUCGCUAAUUUUGCUUUUUCUAGUAGUGUUAUUCUUAAAAAUCACCGAUUGAAAUGGUGAAUCAGAUGCAUCUUCACUCACUUAUGGAUUGCAUGCACCUUGAUCAAAUGCCUCAACUGAGUUAUCUUGUUGAGUUGCAUCCAUAAAUGAUUCAUGAGACCUAAACUCAUUGUCAUUUGCAUCAACAACAACCCUUGCAAAGUUAGCAACAACGAGAAUAAUGUCAGAUUUAGUCGCAAUCAUAGCACAAGUUUGCACAUUGGUAACAUGAUCAACGACAACAUUUUUUAUCUGUUUAUCAAAUUUCAAACGUUUUGUAAAUUUGCAACUUAAUUUGAGUCGUUUUGUUUCCUUUGAUUUUUGAGUCAUUCAUAAGUUCUUUUUUUCAAAAAUGAUAUUAUUAAUACAACAUCAAAAAUUAAAUAUAGUUAUCCCUUAUAAUUGAAACUCAAACAUUAAUUUGUCAUCGUCGGAGAUUAGUUUUUUCCUUCAUAGUAGUCGGUUUCAGCCGGUGUUGAGUCAUUUUUUGAACAAGAAUAUAAUAUAUAACACUUAUAUUAUUAUCAUAUGAGAAAGAGAGAAAAAAAAAUUAGUAUUGCAUUGCAAUCAAAAAAGUAAUCUAUAAUUCAAAUCCCAAUUAACAAAAUAUCAAAAUUAUUAGAAUAAAUAUUACUACUGAAUUCAAAUCCCAAUAAAUGUUUGCAUAAAAGUGGGAAAAAGAUACAUAGACACACUUCCAUGUACACCCCAAUGUACACCCUCAUGUGGCAAGGCUAUUUUGGUAAUUUCACAGAGCUUUAUUGUUUUCACCCUCUUCUCUCUCGUAGACCACCCUUUCUUCUCUCUCACUCACCCGAUCUCCCUUUCUUCUCUCUCUCUCUCUGCCUCUAACUCACCCGCCACCACCACCGGCCACCGUUGACGUCACCGCCACCGACCUCUCACUCUUCCCUCAUCAAAACUACCACUCUGUGCCCCAUCAUCUCUUUCUCUGCAAUUCUCUCUCUCUCUGUAACUGAUUUUUUUCCCUUCUUCAUUUUAAUUCAUUUUCUCUGAGAAGAAGAGAUCAGAAAACAACAGAUCUGGUGAGAUGAGUUCGUUAUGGUGGUGGAGAUGAGUUUUGAUACUGGUGGGUGAGAGGAAAACGACAUUGGCCGGAGAGAUGAGAGGUUUGCCGGAGAGAUGAGUUUUUCAGAUCUACUGUGUUGGUGAAAGACAACGAGGUUUGCGGUGGCCGGUGGUAGACUACGCCGGAGAGUGGUAGACAAAAAAAUAGUUGAACGAAAGUGAAGAGAGUAUGACCGGAGAAAAAUACGGUGGUCGGAGUGUAUGGAAGUCGCCGUCGACGUGGCCGGAGAGAUGGAGAGGGACUGUUGGAUGAGAGGCAGAUUUUUUUUUUCUUGUUUAUGAGUUGGCAGUCUUUUGAAUAUUUUAUGCAUUUUUUUGACAAAUGGAGGGGUGUAUACAAGAGAUAUGUCACAUAAGGUGGUAUGAGUAUCACUAUUAACACUAUAUAUUGUUAAUUUCUCAAUAUAUACUAUAUAGUGUAUAAUAGAGAAUAUUUUUUGACAAUGUGUAUAAUAGAGAAUAUAGUGAGUGGUACAUGGCAUGACAAAAGCAUAUAGGACUGAACUAAUAAGUCUCUGGUCAAUGCACACAGAAAUAAUACGACUACAUGCCUUGUUCAUGCAAAAACGAUUACCAUGGGUCCCACUCACUAACUAUCAGCUAAUUCAACUCUUAUUUUUUGAUCUCUAGUAAUGUAUACCCACUGAUCCAGUAGCUUUUGGGUCCAUAGAUUCAGUUUUGCUAACAUUUAUUUAUAUUUUUUUAGUAUUAAUUUAUAUAUAGUUGAGCCAAGCUUUGACAAACCUACCUCCUCUAUGAUCAGUUGAACGUUGUUAAUUAAUGAUCAUUGAAAGAGUGGGGGAGAUAAAUUAAUUUCUCACGAGUCUAACUAAAAUCCUAUACAAAUAAAUAGAAAACGUACGAAAAAGAAAAGAAUUUACUAAUAUGUAUUUUUGAAAUAAUUUUGAUUUGAUGCUAUAAUUAUAUAAGCAUCAGUGAUGCUAUUUACAACGAUAAAAUUCAUCCCGAAGAUAUGGCCACCGUUGGAUUUGUUUUCUUUCCUAUAAGUAUUUCUCGUUAAUUUUAGAUGCCGUUUAAAUUACGAUAAUGGAAUUAGAAUUGAAUGAUGCUGCAUGGAUGCUCAAGUCAUGUGUUUGAAAUUGAAUGAAGGGUUUUAGAGAAUGAUUUAGUUUUCUUUUUUAAAAGUCAAUUAAGUGUGUUUAUCAUGUUUUACUUUUAAAUUAAGUCUUCCAAAGCUUACCUCCAUGAUUGUGAAUUCUUAAAUUAAGUUUUUUAAAUUGAUCUCAUGUAUAAAUAUAUUAUUUAACUUCUUUUUUUUAGUAUUAAUACAUAUAUAAUGAGCUCCAAACACUUCAAUGCAACUCCUCUAAAAAAAAUAUUAAAUGGAUUUUACCAAUAAAAAACAUAUAAUUACAUUUCAACAAUAAUUUUUUAAUUUUUAUGAAAAAUUGGUUGUUGAACUGGCGCGUCAGAAGCAGAUUAAAUAUAUAUAAUUUAUUUUUUAAUAAAAAGUAAUGCAAAAGUUGAGAUGUAUUGGAGGAAAAGGAAAAGGAAAUUUGAGUGAGAGAGAGAGAGUAGUACUUACUUGAAGUGAAGGAGAAUUAUAAACUACAAAUUGAACUGGACAACAGUACAUUUUAGAUUUCCAUGACCUUGUGGUUCUUACUUGAGGUCAGAUAGUCACAUGGACUUUUUUGUAUAACAAGGACAUACUAGUGUAUAAAGUAUGAUGCCAUGGCACACAAAUGACAUAACAGUACACUAAUUAAUGAGGCCCGAUGGUACAAUUGAAGUGUUAAGUGUUGCCUGUAACCUGCCAACUUUCAUACAAUUGAAGUGUUUAUUUGAUAGUAG
RNAcentral lists this long non-coding RNA (3505 nucleotides) under Medicago truncatula (barrel medic). RNAcentral describes it as "long non-coding RNA (MTRU_LNC002248)". Lineage: Eukaryota; Viridiplantae; Streptophyta; Magnoliopsida; Fabales; Fabaceae. The record is from RNAcentral.